GCCUCAGUAGCUCAGACUGUGCGGGAAUUUUCCGCCAGGAGAAAUGGUAGAGCAGCUGCCUUGUAAGCAGCAGGCCGGGGGUUCAAAUCCCUCCUGAGGCU
RNAcentral lists this transfer RNA (101 nucleotides) under Candidatus Woesearchaeota archaeon. RNAcentral's name for it is "tRNA-Thr". It matches the Rfam family "tRNA". From Rfam's summary of the family: Transfer RNA (tRNA) molecules are approximately 80 nucleotides in length. Their secondary structure includes four short double-helical elements and three loops (D, anti-codon, and T loops). Lineage: Archaea; Nanobdellati; Candidatus Woesearchaeota. The record is from RNAcentral.